GCAAAGUAGGUUCAGCGCGUAAAGUGUUGCGGGAUGGGAACGUUGCCCGCAAACGAAGGAAGUUUUCCGCGAUGCUGAAUUGCGUCCGUUG
Molecule: non-coding RNA, 91 nt
Filed under: Candidatus Heteroclostridium caecigallinarum
Lineage: Bacteria; Bacillati; Bacillota; Clostridia
Description: THF riboswitch
Rfam family: THF (Tetrahydrofolate) riboswitch aptamer
About the family: THF riboswitch presents a pseudoknot that joins P1-P2 and the loop of P3 and two THF binding.
Source: RNAcentral